This 1360-nucleotide ribosomal RNA is filed under the name Pseudosquilla ciliata. RNAcentral's name for it is "16S ribosomal RNA". The stretch from base 643 to 1360 matches the Rfam family "Archaeal large subunit ribosomal RNA", at positions 1423 to 2846 of the family's 2987-position model. Lineage: Eukaryota; Metazoa; Arthropoda; Malacostraca; Stomatopoda; Pseudosquillidae. The record is from RNAcentral.
AAAAAUCUCUUAUCUAAUUAAUAUAAGUGUAUUUAAAUUAAUAAUGAAAAUAAUCUGAACUAUAUAAUGUAUAAGUAUUUAGUAAAGAAAAUAUAAAAAGGUGAUAAAUAAAUAGUACUGCUAAGGAAAGUUGAAAUAAUUGAAAAAUUUAAUUUUAUGAAAGUAUAAUUAAACAUUAGUACCUUGUGUUUCAGGGAAUUUAAAAAAUUAACUUUGAUAUUUAUUAAACAAUCCCGAAAUUUAGUGAGCUAGGUAAUAAUUGCAGUUAACGUAGUAUAGUUAUUGUUAAUUGUUUACUAGAAAUGAAAUUUUAUACGCACUAACAAGUAUCUGGUUUUGUAAUAAAUAAAUUAAAUUUAACCCUUAAGUUUAAAAUAUAUUUAAGGAGCAAGAAUUGGAGGGAAAAGCUUCUUAUUCAAUAAUAAAAAUAUUAUAAAUGAAAAAAAUAUAAAUUAUUUAAUUAGGCUUAAAAUCAGUCAAAUUUCAAAAUCGUUAUAGAUUAUGUAAAAUUUUAAUAAUAUUUAACAUCAUUUUAAUAAAUUAUUACAAAAUAAUUAAAAAUUAUAAAAUUUUAGAUACAAUUAAAUUAUUAGUACAAAUAAUUAGUAUUAUUAUCAUUAUCAAAUGUAAAUAACAAUGAUUUAUAAAAUCUAAAUUAUAUUAAGGAACUCGGCAAUUAUCCUUUCUGCCUGUUUAUCAAAAACAUGUCUAUAAGAAGUUUUUUAUAGUUCUGGCCUGCCCACUGAUAAUUUAAAUUAAAGGGCCGCGGUAUUUUGACCGUGCGAAGGUAGCAUAAUAAUUAGUCUCCUAAUUAGAGGCAUUGUAUGAAUGGUCGGACAAGAAUGGGAACUGUCUCAAUAUAAAAAAUAAAAUUUAAUAAUUAAGUAAAAAAGCUUAAAUUAAACAGAGUGACGAUAAGACCCUAUGAAAGCUUUAUGAGUGUGCUUCUUUUAUAUGUAAAAUGAAUUUAAUAUUAACAUAUUAAAGAAAUCACAUUAUUUUACUGGGGCGGUAAAAGUAUAAAUGAUUAACUGCUUUUGUUAUGCAAAACAAUGAUAAUUGGUAUGUAAAUUGAUCCAUUAAUAAUGAUUAUAAAAACAAGUUACUUUAGGGAUAACAGCGUAAUUUUUCUUGAGAGUCCUUAUCGAAAGAAAAGUUUGCGACCUCGAUGUUGAAUUAAGGGUUACCUUAAGGUGCAGCAGGUUUUAAAGGUAGAUCUGUUCGAUCUUUAAACCCUUACAUGAUUUGAGUUCAUCCCGAGCGUGAGCCAGGUUGGUUUCUAUCUUCUGUUAAAUUUAAACUUAUUUUAGUACGAAAGGAUUUGGUAAGUCAAAAACUUUGUUGUUAAUGAAUUAAAUUA